RNAcentral lists this ribosomal RNA (429 nucleotides) under Bacteroidota bacterium. Its description in RNAcentral is "Bacteroidetes bacterium partial 16S ribosomal RNA". It matches the Rfam family "Bacterial small subunit ribosomal RNA", at positions 355 to 776 of the family's 1533-position model. The record is from RNAcentral. Lineage: Bacteria; Pseudomonadati; Bacteroidota.
UAGGGAAUCUUCGGCAAUGGGGGGAACCCUGAACGAGAAACGCCGCGUGAGUGAAGAAGGUUUUCGGAUCGUAAAGAUCUGUUGUUAAGGAAGAACGAGUGUGAGAAUGGAAAGUUCAUGCUGUGACGGUACUUAACCAGAAAGGGACGGCUAACUACGUGCCAGCAGCCGCGGCAAUACGUAGGUCCCGAGAGUUGUCCGGAUUUAUUGGGCGUAAAGCGAGCGCAGGCGGUUAGAAAAGUCUGAAGUGAAAGGCAGUGGCUCAACCAUUGUAGGCUUUGGAAACUGUUUAACUUGAGUGCAGAAGAGGAGAGUGGAAUUCCAUGUGUAGCGGUGAAAUGCGUAGAUAUAUGGAGGAACUCCGGUGGCGUCAGCGGCUCUCUGAUCUGUAACUGACGCUGAGGCUCGAAAGCGUGGGGGGCGAACAGG